This 1387-nucleotide ribosomal RNA is filed under the name Limosilactobacillus fermentum. RNAcentral's name for it is "bacterial SSU rRNA". It matches the Rfam family "Bacterial small subunit ribosomal RNA", at positions 74 to 1441 of the family's 1533-position model. Lineage: Bacteria; Bacillati; Bacillota; Bacilli; Lactobacillales; Lactobacillaceae. The record is from RNAcentral.
CGGAGCUUGCUCCACCGGAAAAAGAAGAGUGGCGAACGGGUGAGUAACACGUGGGUAACCUGCCCAUCAGAAGGGGAUAACACUUGGAAACAGGUGCUAAUACCGUAUAACAAUCGAAACCGCAUGGUUUUGAUUUGAAAGGCGCUUUCGGGUGUCGCUGAUGGAUGGACCCGCGGUGCAUUAGCUAGUUGGUGAGGUAACGGCUCACCAAGGCCACGAUGCAUAGCCGACCUGAGAGGGUGAUCGGCCACAUUGGGACUGAGACACGGCCCAAACUCCUACGGGAGGCAGCAGUAGGGAAUCUUCGGCAAUGGACGAAAGUCUGACCGAGCAACGCCGCGUGAGUGAAGAAGGUUUUCGGAUCGUAAAACUCUGUUGUUAGAGAAGAACAAGGAUGAGAGUAACUGUUCAUCCCUUGACGGUAUCUAACCAGAAAGCCACGGCUAACUACGUGCCAGCAGCCGCGGUAAUACGUAGGUGGCAAGCGUUGUCCGGAUUUAUUGGGCGUAAAGCGAGCGCAGGCGGUUUCUUAAGUCUGAUGUGAAAGCCCCCGGCUCAACCGGGGAGGGUCAUUGGAAACUGGGAGACUUGAGUGCAGAAGAGGAGAGUGGAAUUCCAUGUGUAGCGGUGAAAUGCGUAGAUAUAUGGAGGAACACCAGUGGCGAAGGCGGCUCUCUGGUCUGUAACUGACGCUGAGGCUCGAAAGCGUGGGGAGCAAACAGGAUUAGAUACCCUGGUAGUCCACGCCGUAAACGAUGAGUGCUAAGUGUUGGAGGGUUUCCGCCCUUCAGUGCUGCAGCUAACGCAUUAAGCACUCCGCCUGGGGAGUACGACCGCAAGGUUGAAACUCAAAGGAAUUGACGGGGGCCCGCACAAGCGGUGGAGCAUGUGGUUUAAUUCGAAGCAACGCGAAGAACCUUACCAGGUCUUGACAUCCUUUGACCACUCUAGAGAUAGAGCUUCCCCUUCGGGGGCAAAGUGACAGGUGGUGCAUGGUUGUCGUCAGCUCGUGUCGUGAGAUGUUGGGUUAAGUCCCGCAACGAGCGCAACCCUUAUUGUUAGUUGCCAUCAUUUAGUUGGGCACUCUAGCAAGACUGCCGGUGACAAACCGGAGGAAGGUGGGGAUGACGUCAAAUCAUCAUGCCCCUUAUGACCUGGGCUACACACGUGCUACAAUGGGAAGUACAACGAGUCGCGAAGUCGCGAGGCUAAGCUAAUCUCUUAAAGCUUCUCUCAGUUCGGAUUGUAGGCUGCAACUCGCCUACAUGAAGCCGGAAUCGCUAGUAAUCGCGGAUCAGCACGCCGCGGUGAAUACGUUCCCGGGCCUUGUACACACCGCCCGUCACACCACGAGAGUUUGUAACACCCGAAGUCGGUGAGGUAACCU